ACACCUCAACUCUCAUGGUUCUGCCAUGAUGAGCUUGGACUUUGGAGGUCUUGCUGGCCCCUGUGGUCAGCUCCUCUCAAAUGGAUCAGCUUGCCAGUGUUUGGUGGCAUCACAGGUGUGAUAACUAUCUACGCUUGUGGUUUUCCACCAGGUAACCUUCAGUGAUGGAGGUUCGCUGGAGCUCAUAAACGUCUCUCCUCAGCGAGGACAGCUUCUUGAAC
RNAcentral lists this unclassified non-coding RNA (221 nucleotides) under uncultured Tomentella. RNAcentral's name for it is "sequence contains ITS2". The record is from RNAcentral. Lineage: Eukaryota; Fungi; Basidiomycota; Agaricomycetes; Thelephorales; Thelephoraceae.